CCCACCUUUCACCCUGACCUUGGGCGAGCCAUGGCCGCCUCCAGCUGCACAUCCGUGGCCACCAGCGGCAGCUGCUGGCCCUUGGCAGCCGCCUGAACAAACAGGGGGAUUGAGGAUUAUUACCCGGUGCUGGGAGCAGCCUGUGGCACGGUCCUGACAAAUGGAAACACACUCCAAUAUCUCCGGUUACCUGCAAGGACCUGUGGCUGAAGGGUGCAAGGGAUUUGGGCCUGCAAAAAGAGAAUAAAAAGGUGAUUUUCAAGAUGCUUUGUCAUUUCUCUCACUCAAGGACACCCUGCCCACCAGUGGGUUUGCUCACCUGAACAAAGCCAUCCACUGGCUCUGGGGACCUGAGGUCCUGCAGUAUCCCAGCCAGGACUCCUGCCCACAGGAGAGGGCUGGAGAAGCAGAAUGUCAGAUUUCCAGCCUCUUGUCGUGGGCUGUGAGUGCUGACACCUCAACCUUUCCUUGUACCCUUCAAGCACCCGGCUGGAGAGGCGGCUGCCUUUAUCUCCUGCUUGUUUAACGUAAUUACUACUUGUAUUUCCUCCCCGCUGGUUCUGCUGGAGCGGAAAAGGCUUUGGCCUUCACUUCACUAUACAAAAUAAAGAAAAAAAAAAUCUGGUUUAUAAACACCACUUUUUCUAUACUUUCAAAGGCAGGUUGUAGGGUGAGAGUCAGGAGAAUGGUCCCUAUUUGGAAAGCAGGCUAAUAAUAAUGAUGAAGUUGCUGCAGGGAAAUCUCUUGUCGAGCCUCCCUGAGCACUCUUUGUUCCCUUAGUAGUAAACAAUUAUCUUUUAAAGAUGUUCUGCUGUCUCCACCACUCACCCUGCUAUGAGAUAUUAAACAACCCCAAAAAGCAGCCCAAUUGUGUGCAAAGAGUGGAUUUCCUUUCAGAAAGGGUGGGAAUUUGCAACUCUUUAAAGACACUUAGUGUUAAUUAAAACCUAUGCAACCCAAAGAGAAAUAUAGCACCGUUUUUCAAGGAGGGAUGAAGUCAGUAUGAUUAGCAAGUGUUUUGUUACCAUGCUAAAAUAUGCUUUUUGAUUCUUAAAAUUCAGUGCCUGCUGCUGAUGGAAAACAAUUGUUUGUGCUCCAUAGCAAUGAAAGUUCAAGUGACAUAAAAA
This is a long non-coding RNA of Cyanistes caeruleus (blue tit), 1127 nucleotides long. RefSeq lists it as uncharacterized. The record is from RefSeq and is a predicted model, not a curated record. Lineage: Eukaryota; Metazoa; Chordata; Aves; Passeriformes; Paridae.